UUGAACGCUGGCGGCAGGCCUAACACAUGCAAGUCGAGCGGAUGAGAAGAGCUUGCUCUUCGAUUCAGCGGCGGACGGGUGAGUAAUGCCUAGGAAUCUGCCUGGUAGUGGGGGACAACGUUUCGAAAGGAACGCUAAUACCGCAUACGUCCUACGGGAGAAAGCAGGGGACCUUCGGGCCUUGCGCUAUCAGAUGAGCCUAGGUCGGAUUAGCUAGUUGGUGAGGUAAUGGCUCACCAAGGCGACGAUCCGUAACUG
This 258-nucleotide ribosomal RNA is filed under the name Pseudomonas sp. ISO69_OTU1178. RNAcentral's name for it is "partial 16S ribosomal RNA". It matches the Rfam family "Bacterial small subunit ribosomal RNA", at positions 30 to 289 of the family's 1533-position model. Lineage: Bacteria; Pseudomonadati; Pseudomonadota; Gammaproteobacteria; Pseudomonadales; Pseudomonadaceae. RNAcentral also lists the same sequence under 1 other name. The record is from RNAcentral.